GGGAGCAGCCGCAGCCCGCAGCUCGCAGCCCGCAGAGGACGCCCAGAGCAGAGAGCGGGCGGGCGCACGGACCGACGGACUCGCGCCGCGUCCACCUGUCCGCCGGGCCGGGCCCAGAGCACAGCGGGCACGCCGCGCGCGCCGUGCCGCCGUGCCCGCCGCCCGGGCCCCGCGCCAGGGCGCACACGCUCCGCUCCCCACACCGGCCCGGGCGGGAGUUUGCACCUCUCCCUGCCUGGGUACUUGGGCCGACACUGCAAAACCAACUUUGGAAAAAGUUUUUCGGGGGCGACUUUGGCUUCGAGGUGCCCAGAACUGCAUUUUCCGACUUCGGGGGCCUUUCCAGAAAAUGUUGCAAAAAAGCUAAGCCGGCGGGCAGAGGAAAACGCCUUUAGCCAGCGAGCGAAGACUAACCAUCGCCUGCCUGCCGCGUUCUGCUUCCUCUCGGAGGUUGGAGUCCCCUGGGCGCCCCCAUACGGCUAGACGCCUCGGCUGGCUCGCGACGCAGCCCCCCGGCCGUGGAUGCUCGCUCGGGCUCGGGAUCCGCCCAGGUAGCGGCCUCAGACCCUGGUCCUGCGCCCAGGUCCUCCCCAGCCCCCCAACGACGGAGCCGGGGC
This 617-nucleotide non-coding RNA is filed under the name Erinaceus europaeus (western European hedgehog). RNAcentral describes it as "c-sis internal ribosome entry site (IRES)". It matches the Rfam family "c-sis internal ribosome entry site (IRES)". From Rfam's summary of the family: This family represents the c-sis 5'-UTR which contains three modules that can individually mediate internal ribosome entry. The record is from Rfam by way of RNAcentral. Lineage: Eukaryota; Metazoa; Chordata; Mammalia; Eulipotyphla; Erinaceidae.